RNAcentral lists this ribosomal RNA (424 nucleotides) under uncultured bacterium. Its description in RNAcentral is "partial 16S ribosomal RNA". It matches the Rfam family "Bacterial small subunit ribosomal RNA", at positions 360 to 776 of the family's 1533-position model. The record is from RNAcentral.
AAUUUUUGACAAUGUUGGAAACCCUGAUACAGCCAUCCCGCGUGCAUGAUGAAGGCCUUCGAGUCGUAAAGUACUUUUGGCAGAGAAGAAAAGGUAUCUCCUAAUACGAGAUAAUGCUGACGGUAUCUGCAGAUUAAGAACAGGCUAACUACGGGCCAGCAGCCGCGGUAAUACGUAGGGUGCAAGCGUUAAUCGGAAUUCAUGGGCGUAAAGCGUGUGUAGGCGGUUCGGAAAGAAAGAUGCGAAAUCCCAGUGCUCAAUCUUGGAUCUGCAUUUUUAACUGCCGAGCUAGAGUAUGUCAGAGGGGGGUAUAAUUCCACGUGUAGCAGUGAAAUGCGUAGAUAUGUGGAGGAAUACCGAUGGCGAAGGCAGCCCCCUGGGAUAAUACUGACGCUCAGACACGAAAGCGUGGGGAGCAAACAGG